This 144-nucleotide small nuclear RNA is filed under the name Cebus imitator (Panamanian white-faced capuchin). RNAcentral describes it as "U1 spliceosomal RNA (ENSCCAG00000009967.1)". It matches the Rfam family "U1 spliceosomal RNA". From Rfam's summary of the family: U1 is a small nuclear RNA (snRNA) component of the spliceosome (involved in pre-mRNA splicing). Its 5' end forms complementary base pairs with the 5' splice junction, thus defining the 5' donor site of an intron. The record is from Rfam by way of RNAcentral. Lineage: Eukaryota; Metazoa; Chordata; Mammalia; Primates; Cebidae.
UCUAUUACCUGGUGGGGGAGAUACCAUGAUCACGAAGGUGGUUUUCCCAGGGCGAGGCUUAUCCAUUGCACUCCGGAUAUACUGACCCCUGCGAUUUCCCCAAAUGUUUGUGGUAGUGGGGGACUGUAUUCACGUUUUCCCCUG